Molecule: ribosomal RNA, 444 nt
Filed under: uncultured bacterium
Lineage: Bacteria
Description: partial 16S ribosomal RNA
Rfam family: Bacterial small subunit ribosomal RNA
Source: RNAcentral
CCCAGACUCCUACGGGAGGCAGCAGUGGGGAAUAUUGCACAAUGGGGGGAACCCUGAUGCAGCGACGCCGCGUGGGUGAAGGAGCACCUCGGUGCGUAAAGCCCUAUCGGCAGGGAAGAAACAGACGGUACCUGACUAAGAAGCCCCGGCUAACUACGUGCCAGCAGCCGCGGGAAUACGUAGGGGGCAAGCGUUAUCCGGAUUUAUUGGGUUUAAAGGGUGCGUAGGCGGAUUUUUAAGUCAGCGGUAAAAUGUCCGGGCUCAACCCGGGCCGGCCGUUGAAACUGGGGAUCUUGAGUGGGCGAGAAGUGUGCGGAAUGCGUGGUGUAGCGGUGAAAUGCAUAGAUAUCACGCAGAACUCCGAUUGCGAAGGCAGCAUACCGGCGCCCUACUGACGCUCAGGCACGAAAGCGUGGGUAUCGAACAGGAUUAGAUACCCCCGUA